AUACGGUAUGUCCAAAUUACACAAACUCCUGAUUCGAAUCCCACACUAUCAUUUACCUGCUUUGAGACUUUGAACAAGAUACCAAACUCAUGUGAGCCUCAAUUUCUUCAUUUGUAAACAAGAGAUAAUAAUAACACCACUUUGCAGGAUUGAAUGAGGAUUAAGCUAGGUGAAAAUAUCCAGCAAAAUAAAGGUUAUUUGUGAUGUCACUAGGUCACAUCCUUUGCUUCUAAUUUGUUUACUCCUGGACCUGUGGGCUCUAGCAGAACUCUGCCACACCCUGGUGUGACAUAGAGCCACAUACCUUCCUCAGCCCUCAGUUUCCUCACUUGUCCUAGAAGAUAUUAUUAACAUUAAGUGAAUUACAUGUGUAAGUACUUUGAAAAGUUCAAGAUCUUUUACAAAUGUAAGGUGUUGAAUGAGAAGUAACUAAUACCUUGCAUAUUUUACAGCUUUGGAGCAGCUAAAAACUUGGGUGGCCUGACAUAACAGAUUAUCUGCCAAGUAUGCAGUUGGGAGACUUUCUAAGGAUUCCAAUUAUUUGCAUUUUACUUUAUUUCCCACUACUGUAGAUGGAGUUGGUUGUAUACUAUUUUAUUUCUCCUCCCCCAGGACGGCAAUGGAUACAUAGAUGAAAAUGAACUGGAUGCUUUACUGAAGGAUCUGUGCGAGAAGAAUAAACAGGAUCUGGAUAUUAAUAAUAUUACAACAUACAAGAAGAACAUAAUGGCUUUGUCGGAUGGAGGGAAGCUGUACCGAACGGAUCUUGCUCUUAUUCUCUGUGCUGGGGAUAACUAGAGU
Molecule: small RNA, 801 nt
Filed under: Pan troglodytes (chimpanzee)
Lineage: Eukaryota; Metazoa; Chordata; Mammalia; Primates; Hominidae
Description: retained intron
Source: RNAcentral